RNAcentral lists this ribosomal RNA (680 nucleotides) under Apis mellifera scutellata (African honeybee). RNAcentral's name for it is "SSU rRNA". It matches the Rfam family "Eukaryotic small subunit ribosomal RNA", at positions 103 to 750 of the family's 1831-position model. The record is from RNAcentral. RNAcentral also lists the same sequence under 1 other name. Lineage: Eukaryota; Metazoa; Arthropoda; Insecta; Hymenoptera; Apidae.
AAAUCAGUUAUGGUUCAUUAGAUCGUGGACACAUUUACUUGGAUAACUGUGGUAAUUCUAGAGCUAAUACAUGCAAACAGAAUUCCUCUCAGAGAUGGGAGGAAUGCUUUUAUUAGAUCAAAACCAAUCGGUGGCGGACGGCUCGUCCGUUCGUCCAUCGUUUGUUUUGGUGACUCUGAAUAACUUUGUGCUGAUCGCAUGGUCAUCUAGCACCGGCGACGCAUCUUUCAAAUGUCUGCCUUAUCAACUGUCGAUGGUAGGUUCUGCGCCUACCAUGGUUGUAACGGGUAACGGGGAAUCAGGGUUCGAUUCCGGAGAGGGAGCCUGAGAAACAGCUACCACAUCCAAGGAAGGCAGCAGGCGCGCAAAUUACCCACUCCCGGCACGGGGAGGUAGUGACGAAAAAUAACGAUACGGGACUCAUCCGAGGCCCCGUAAUCGGAAUGAGUACACUUUAAAUCCUUUAACGAGGACCAAUUGGAGGGCAAGUCUGGUGCCAGCAGCCGCGGUAAUUCCAGCUCCAAUAGCGUAUAUUAAAGUUGUUGCGGUUAAAAAGCUCGUAGUUGAAUCUGUGUGUCACAGUGUCGGUUCACCGCUCGCGGUGUUUAACUGGCAUUAUGUGGUACGUCCUAUCGGUGGGCUUAGCUCCUUGCGGGCGGUCCAACUAAUAUCCCAUCGCG